AUUAUACUCCCUCCGUCCCAAAAUUCUUGUCUUAAAUUUGUCUAGAUAUGAAUGUAUCUAGUCACGUUUUUGUAUUUAGAUAAAUCCAUUUCUAGACAAACCUAAGACAAGAAUUUUGGGACAAAGGGAGUAAUGA
Non-coding RNA from Hordeum vulgare subsp. vulgare (domesticated barley), 136 nucleotides. NCBI's taxonomy places the organism in Eukaryota, Viridiplantae, Streptophyta, Magnoliopsida, Poales, Poaceae. The record is from Rfam.